CUAUACAUGCAGUCGAGCGAACAGACGAGGAGCUUGCUCCUUUGACGUUAGCGGCGGACGGGUGAGUAACACGUAGGUAACCUACCUAUAAGACUGGGAUAACUUCGGGAAACCGGAGCUAAUACCGGAUAAUAUUUCGAACCGCAUGGUUCGAUAGUGAAAGAUGGCUUUGCUAUCACUUAUAGAUGGACCUGCGCCGUAUUAGCUAGUUGGUAAGGUAACGGCUUACCAAGGCAACGAUACGUAGCCGACCUGAGAGGGUGAUCGGCCACACUGGAACUGAGACACGGUCCAGACUCCUACGGGAGGCAGCAGUAGGGAAUCUUCCGCAAUGGGCGAAAGCCUGACGGAGCAACGCCGCGUGAGUGAUGAAGGUCUUCGGAUCGUAAAACUCUGUUAUUAGGGAAGAACAAACGUGUAAGUAACUGUGCACGUCUUGACGGUACCUAAUCAGAAAGCCACGGCUAACUACGUGCCAGCAGCGGCCGGGUAAUAAA
This 497-nucleotide ribosomal RNA is filed under the name Staphylococcus hominis subsp. novobiosepticus. Its description in RNAcentral is "bacterial SSU rRNA". It matches the Rfam family "Bacterial small subunit ribosomal RNA", at positions 49 to 527 of the family's 1533-position model. Lineage: Bacteria; Bacillati; Bacillota; Bacilli; Caryophanales; Staphylococcaceae. The record is from RNAcentral.